RNAcentral lists this transfer RNA (63 nucleotides) under Rattus norvegicus (Norway rat). It matches the Rfam family "tRNA". Rfam says of the family: Transfer RNA (tRNA) molecules are approximately 80 nucleotides in length. Their secondary structure includes four short double-helical elements and three loops (D, anti-codon, and T loops). The record is from Rfam by way of RNAcentral. Lineage: Eukaryota; Metazoa; Chordata; Mammalia; Rodentia; Muridae. RNAcentral also lists the same sequence under 2 other names.
GGGGAUUUAGCUCAGUGGUAGAGCACUUGCCUAGCAAGUACAAGGCCCUGGGUUCAGUCCUCA